GGACGGGUGAGUAAUGUAUGGGGAUCUGCCCGAUAGAGGGGGAUAACUACUGGAAACGGUGGCUAAUACCGCAUAAUGUCUACGGACCAAAGCAGGGGCUCUUCGGACCUUGCACUAUCGGAUGAACCCAUAUGGGAUUAGCUAGUAGGUGGGGUAAAGGCUCACCUAGGCGACGAUCUCUAGCUGGUCUGAGAGGAUGAUCAGCCACACUGGGACUGAGACACGGCCCAGACUCCUACGGGAGGCAGCAGUGGGGAAUAUUGCACAAUGGGCGCAAGCCUGAUGCAGCCAUGCCGCGUGUAUGAAGAAGGCCUUAGGGUUGUAAAGUACUUUCAGCGGGGAGGAAGGUGAUAAGGUUAAUACCCUUAUCAAUUGACGUUACCCGCAGAAGAAGCACCGGCUAACUCCGUGCCAGCAGCCGCGGUAAUACGGAGGGU
This 437-nucleotide ribosomal RNA is filed under the name Proteus mirabilis. RNAcentral's name for it is "bacterial SSU rRNA". It matches the Rfam family "Bacterial small subunit ribosomal RNA", at positions 100 to 533 of the family's 1533-position model. The record is from RNAcentral. Lineage: Bacteria; Pseudomonadati; Pseudomonadota; Gammaproteobacteria; Enterobacterales; Morganellaceae.